Molecule: non-coding RNA, 25 nt
Filed under: Rattus norvegicus (Norway rat)
Lineage: Eukaryota; Metazoa; Chordata; Mammalia; Rodentia; Muridae
Source: RNAcentral
UGAUUGAUAAUCGAGGUGGUGUUUU